UGGUCAGUAGCUCAGUGGUAGAGCCCUCGGCUGUUAACCGAGUUGUCGUAGGUUCGACCCCUACCUGACCAGCCA
Molecule: transfer RNA, 75 nt
Filed under: Fibrobacterota bacterium
Lineage: Bacteria; Pseudomonadati; Fibrobacterota
Also listed under: 1 other name
Description: tRNA-Asn
Rfam family: tRNA
About the family: Transfer RNA (tRNA) molecules are approximately 80 nucleotides in length. Their secondary structure includes four short double-helical elements and three loops (D, anti-codon, and T loops).
Source: RNAcentral